Small nucleolar RNA from Panicum hallii, 115 nucleotides. RefSeq annotates it as small nucleolar RNA Z278. The record is from RefSeq and is a predicted model, not a curated record. The transcript has a single exon. NCBI's taxonomy places the organism in Eukaryota, Viridiplantae, Streptophyta, Magnoliopsida, Poales, Poaceae.
GCAUUGAUUGAGUCAUCCACUAUCAGGAGACGGAAUCUGUUUUAAGGCCCUGUUUAUCAGGGUGAACCUACUUAGAGUUGCUGCACUUGUAAAAGAAUGUCACCAAUUCUGAGGU